RNAcentral lists this ribosomal RNA (301 nucleotides) under uncultured bacterium. Its description in RNAcentral is "partial 16S ribosomal RNA". It matches the Rfam family "Bacterial small subunit ribosomal RNA", at positions 509 to 807 of the family's 1533-position model. The record is from RNAcentral.
CAGCAGCCGCGGUAAUACGUAGGUGGCAAGCGUUGUCCGGAAUUAUUGGGCGUAAAGGGCUCGCAGGCGGUUUCUUAAGUCUGAUGUGAAAGCCCCCGGCUCAACCGGGGAGGGUCAUUGGAAACUGGGAAACUUGAGUGCGGAAGAGGAGAGUGGAAUUCCACGUGUAGCGGUGAAAUGCGUAGAGAUGUGGAGGAACACCAGUGGCGAAGGCGACUCUCUGGUCUGUAACUGACGCUGAGGAGCGAAAGCGUGGGGAGCGAACAGGAUUAGAUACCCCGGUAGUCCCUGUCUCUUAUAC